UUUAAAUCAAUUAAAUCAUCUAGAAGGGGUAACUUUGUCAUUUAAAAUUAUUUAUGCUUCUUUGAUUCAAUCAUAAUCAUCGAUUCAGAUUAAUCCAUGGUCCACAUUAUCAAUCCUUGUCCAUUCCAAUUCAUCCAAUCAAAAUUAGAAAAAAAUCAAAUGAUAAACAAUCAAGAAAAUCAUAAAAUAAAAGAAUUUAUUCUCAUGUCUAAUGAGAAGCUGC
RNAcentral lists this long non-coding RNA (223 nucleotides) under Lathyrus oleraceus (garden pea). Its description in RNAcentral is "Pisum sativum (pea) long non-coding RNA (PSAT_LNC034508)". Lineage: Eukaryota; Viridiplantae; Streptophyta; Magnoliopsida; Fabales; Fabaceae. The record is from RNAcentral.